AACAGAGAGGAAGUGUUUACCGUGAAUAUAGUGUUCGCAAAAGGCAACAAGUAAUAGCCAAAGGUUUCUAUUAUACAUUAGUAGUAGUUAAACAAAUAAUUAAUUUCCGCGGGCGCAACUAGGCCUAAAAAUUGAAAGAAAAUGAUUAUAAAAGCACGGAAAAUAUAGCGCUGGAUUACUAGAUUAGUGGAAACUUGACAUCGUACAACUCCCAUUAUAAUAAAUACUUCAAACUAAAAUAAAAUACAUGUAUAAAAAGUUUAACGUAUAGAUCAAGAUAUAAAAAAACAAUGUUUGCACGAAAAGUAAGCGUUGAAUUCACGGAUUAACCAUUCUUUUUAUUAUUACCAUUAUGAUUGAAUAUUGAUAUUAAUCUAUGAAUCAUAUGUAUUUGGAAUGAUUUUGAUAUAGUAAGUAUUAUUGCACGUUUAGGAUCAUCUAAUUUAUAGUUAUGGGCUAAAAAAAAUGUUAGAGAGAGGGGGAGAGGCUAAGCGAACAUUUCCUUUACUAGCUGCAUGAAUACUACUCAUCCCUAGUUUUGACGAAAACGACCGGCUGGAACCCGAUUGAACAUGAUUCAUCUUUUUCGUAACCCGAUUGAGCACAGUUACAAUCAAACAAUAGGAACCAAAAAAAAAAAAAACCAAAAAACCACACAAUUGAGCAUGAAAAUGGGUGCACGUUGCCGCUUUGUAUCGUAGAAUAUUUCAAUAACUCACCAUUUUGUCUAAUCCCAAUAAACUUAUACCUGAAAGCUCCGACAUUAGCUAACUCUUUGCCUUUCUCAGAUAAAAUAAUUUUUUUUUCAUUAUUUUCCAUUUCAAUUUGCAAAAUACACGUUAUUUAGGAAUACGUCAUGAGCAUACGAGACAACAGAAUAGAAUGGCUACUAUUUACAGCGUAGACACAUACAAUCGUUAUAAAUAAAAUUCUGGUUUCCUAUUUAUCAGUUAUUUUAAACUUCCGUGGUACCUAUCAAUCAAUAGCGAAAUUUUUUUCGACUAAUAGUUAGAUCAGCGUUUCUCAACCAGGGGGUCGAGACCCCCAGAGGGGUCACGAACACCUUGACUUGGGGUCACGUAGAUCAAAAAUAAUAAAACACUGAUUUACAAAAUGUAAAUUCAAAUCAAAUUUUUACCUAAUAUAGAUGGAGGGGGGUCGCAAAGUGAUUGACCAUAUUUUAUACCUAUUUUAGGGGUCGCGACACUAAAAAGGUUGAGAAACGAUGAGUAAGAUAGUUUCCUAUUAAUUAUCAACACAUACUAGUAAAAAUCUGACAACGUUGUACACAAUAUUUUCUUUUUACGGUGCUCAAUUGGGUCGUCAAAAAGGUCAGCCGAUAACGAACUUGUUCAAUCGGGUAUCACGUAAACGACCGACGAGAACCCAUCUCAGGUUUUCUUCCGUGUUAUUAUCUCGUAAAUGUGCGAAGAACAUUUGUCCGUAUAAUGUACAAACGUGCAAAUUCAAAUUCGUGAUAAAUAUACAAAGAUAAAUUCAAACGCAGUACACUGGUCUAAUUGGAUAGAACACGCCAUCGCGUACAACGUACACGACGAAUCGGCCGUUAUUGUUACAGAAUACGAUAAUAUUACAUAUUACGAACAAUAGACGAAACGUAUACAUAUAUAAACAGUUAUUGUGAUUAUUAUUAUGAUCGCCUUCCGGUCGUUUUCAAAUUAUUAUCGUCAAACGUUUUCCAUCAUCCUUUGCCGGCCUCGUACGCGUCAACGGAACAACGAUAUCGCAGUGUCUUGGUACGGAAACAACGGCAUUGCGAAUAGAUGGAAUGCACCGUAAGAAGUCGCGAUAAUGAUGGGUUUUGAUAAUUAUAGGAAUCAUUUUUAAGUUUUUUUACAUACAAUUUUAUACAUAAAAUAAAAAAUUAAAAUUUUUUAUGUAGACAUGUCACAUGAAAAAUAGGGGGGCUAUGUUAAAAUAAGAGCUCAAUUUUUUUUUUUUAAAGACGGCAAAAUUUGAUUUUGCUUAGUGCACUAUUUUUGCUUGGGCCAGCCUUGGGUACGGGAUGCGACAAUAAUGCGCGGUUGACGAAUAACGUAUGUGCAUACAACGUGCACCGUAACGAGCGCUGUGGUCGCGCGCGAAGACGAUCGGCUCAAUAAAUAACCGACAAAUAUUCUAAUAGUUAUCAUCGAUCAGGUUAGGUUCUGAGUAGGUUAGUUACUACUGGUUAGUUUUAGUAUAAUCUGUCAUUAUAUUAUUAUUAUAAUAAUAACAAAAGUACAUGUAUUCGGAUCGGCCAUCGUAUCGACGCGCGUUCAUCGUUGUGUACGUGAGUAAGAAUUUUAAUACGGUUUUUCAGGAUUUUUCGUUCGGAACGAACCGCUCCACUGGUGUCCGUGUAACCUUGACGGACGGACCUGCACGGUUCGGCCCACAUCUCGGGUGCAACCGGAAUGCUUUUGAUUUAAAAAACAUGUCAUUAGCAUAAGCGAGAGGAACGCUACACGCGGUUUCCGGUGGCCAGCCAAUAAGACUGUAUUACGUAUACGCGUACUACAUACGUGCCGAGCGUUCAGUACAUGUUGUAUGGUACAUCAAUUAUUCGUUACCGUUUUACCGUGACGUGUCUCGCGUUACAUCAUAAUAUUGCUGUUAUUGUUGCAUGCGGCAACACAAUGGGCCCGAUCGAAGUGGGUGGCGGGACACGAACGAACGUAUGUAUUAUGGAACGGGGAGCCACGUUUUUUAAGGAGAUCGCAUGUGCCGCCGAAAACAGUCGACCGGAUUAUUUAUAUAUUUUUUUUUUUUUUUGAGGUCGAAGGAAUUAUUAUACCGACCCGAUUGUUGCGCAUUGUAAUGUAUAACGCACGAGACGAUGAUCGGAGCAAUCUCCCGUUAGACACACCGCAGAAACACGCCUAGGUUUUCGAUCCAUAACACUUCCCGCGGUAAUCGCACAUUGUUCGGCGCACGCGCGUCCAUUUAAAGACGGAUUACUUUCAAUCGUCGAACAAUAAAAGUGCAGUACGCGCGCACCCGGCCAGCAAUAAAACGAACGAUUUUGCGUGUGUCGUCUAGGUAUUGUGUUACGCAGUAUCGGAUUAUGGUCAUAAAUCAUCAAGUUCAUUUCCAUACGAUAUUCAUUUGAAAUAAAUAAUUAUGGUGACAUAUACGAGUUUAUGGAAAAAAAAAUCAAAAAAAUCGAGUAGACUGAUACCGCCGAUCAAUCGGUCGUCGACAAUCGAUUGCGUGGAUAGAAUUAGUCACCAUCGAUGGCACGUAUACAUUUUACAGUUUGAAACGGAUCCGUUAAUAGUUGCGUACACAGUGGUCAUCGAAUGUAUUUCGUGUUGCCUCCAGGAUCGAUCAUCCGUUCUGCGUGUCGUUUUCAACGACGACACCGGUUGUAGCGGCGAACAAUAGCGGAUCUGGAGACUUGCACGUUCCGCGACACGUCCGACCGACGGUUAUCGGGUCGUGGCGUCGAUUUCACGGUCACCGCGGUCAUAGGUCGUGGUCGCCGCGGCCGCGCGGCCCCGUCCGUUUCACGCGCACCGCCACGUAUACCGCACGAAUGUUCGUGAUUGGCCGGCUAUCCAUCCCGGAGGGGCGUGUCCGACCCGCGGAUCGUUGGUAGGUCGAACACCACCGGCCGGCGGUGGUAACCGUCGGCAGGUCAUCCGUCCGGUGGAUGGUCGCGAUCGAGUCAAACGGUUCGGGGUCAAGCCCCGCAGACUUUCUCGUCCUCGCAAUAACACUUGUUGCACUCGUGUUGUAAACCGUAUAUUUUUUUUUUCGUUGUUUUUGUUUUCGUUACUGUUGCGCACGCGCGUACGUGCUUGGCACGCACUUCUUUCGCCUCUCCUCUUGUAAUAUUGUGCAACGCGCGACAAGAGUUAAGUAAGAUUAUUAUACGCCAUGAUGGAGCACAAAAAUCGAAUCGUCGCCGCGUCCCGGCUUAUUAUUAUUAUUUUGUUGUUGUUGUUGUUAUGUAUUGUAUGCAUUGUCGCGGCGGAUCUAAAUCGUUAUUAUUCGAACGAAUUUUGGUUCUUGUGGUCAGUGUGACCGUCUUCAGUCGCUGUUUCUUCGGGGUGUUCAAUUAUCACGUAAUAAUCCGUCUUCAGCUGUAUGUUAUCCACGAUAGCUCGUUUUAGUGUUUAUCAUUAUCUUUCUCCCUCUAAUAGAGCGAUCCGUUCGGAGCAAUACGACAUCCGAGCACACGUGGGUUCGUUGUCGUGAGAGACGGCCAGUUUUGGGAUGUCCAGUACAUCUGGAAAUACCCUUCCUCGUUAAUACGCCACUUAUAAGCAAGCCGAAUAUUACGAAUAUCGUUGACGCACCAGCGCUUACUUUGGACGAUGACAUAGUCAAAAUUAUCUCAAUGCUCGAAAUGGGUCCCGAAGAGAUCGUAGACUGAUCGUCUGCUCGUGAUCACCGAGAUCCCCGACCGCAACAAAAACCACAGAAAACGUCAAUCCCGUCAUUCGACUUCGACUAUCGAAAAGCCGAGCGAACGCGAAUUGAAGGUAAUCGCAAUCGUUCAACCUGACCACAACCGUACAUAUGUAAAAUGUAAUGCUUAAUCAUUUAUGUGAAUAAUUUUUAUUUUUUCGCGGAAAACGAAAGCAAUAAGCGCAUGCCUACGGUUCCUUCCAGUAUUAUGCUUUUUGAACAAAUUUUAGAUAAAUAAGGGCUAACAUUGAAAUUUGCAAAA
Molecule: long non-coding RNA, 4678 nt
Filed under: Sipha flava (yellow sugarcane aphid)
Lineage: Eukaryota; Metazoa; Arthropoda; Insecta; Hemiptera; Aphididae
Description: uncharacterized LOC112689817, transcript variant X2
Source: RNAcentral